GUCCAGACUCCUACGGGAGGCAGCAGUAAGGGAUAUUGGUCAAUGGGGGAAACCCUGAACCAGCAACGCCGCGUGAGGGAAGACGGUUUUCGGAUUGUAAACCUCUUUCCUCUGUGAAGAUGAUGACGGUAGCAGAGGAGGAAGCUCCGGCUAACUACGUGCCAGCAGCCGCGGUAAUACGUAGGGAGCGAGCGUUGUCCGGAUUUACUGGGUGUAAAGGGCGUGCAGCCGGGAAGACAAGUCAGAUGUGAAAUCCCGCGGCUCAACCGCGGAACUGCAUUUGAAACUGUUUUUCUUGAGUACCGGAGAGGUCAUCGGAAUUCCUUGUGUAGCGGUGAAAUGCGUAGAUAUAAGGAAGAACACCAGUGGCGAAGGCGGAUGACUGGACGGCAACUGACGGUGAGGCGCGAAAGCGUGGGGAGCAAACAGGAUUAGAUACCCCUGUAA
This 447-nucleotide ribosomal RNA is filed under the name uncultured bacterium. RNAcentral describes it as "partial 16S ribosomal RNA". It matches the Rfam family "Bacterial small subunit ribosomal RNA", at positions 329 to 793 of the family's 1533-position model. The record is from RNAcentral.